GACGAACGCUGGCGGCGUGCUUAACACAUGCAAGUCGAACGGAAAGACCCUGCUUUUGUGGGGUGCUCGAGUGGCGAACGGGUGAGUAACACGUGAGUAACCUGCCCUUGACUUUGGGAUAACUUCAGGAAACUGGGGCUAAUACCGGAUAGGAGCUCCUGCUGCAUGGUGGGGGUUGGAAAGUUUCGGCGGUUGGGGAUGGACUCGCGGCUUAUCAGCUUGUUGGUGGGGUAGUGGCUUAACAAGGCUUUGAUGGGUAGCCGGCCUGAGAGGGUGACCGGCCACAUUGGGACUGAGAUACGGCCCAGACUCCUACGGGAGGCAGCAGUGGGGAAUAUUGCACAAUGGGCGGAAGCCUGAUGCAGCAACGCCGCGUGCGGGAUGACGGCCUUCGGGUUGUAAACCGCUUUCGCCUGUGACGAAGCGUGAGUGACGGUAAUGGGUAAAGAAGCACCGGCUAACUACGUG
Molecule: ribosomal RNA, 468 nt
Filed under: uncultured bacterium
Lineage: Bacteria
Description: partial 16S ribosomal RNA
Rfam family: Bacterial small subunit ribosomal RNA
Source: RNAcentral